RNAcentral lists this ribosomal RNA (475 nucleotides) under uncultured Streptomyces sp. RNAcentral's name for it is "bacterial SSU rRNA". It matches the Rfam family "Bacterial small subunit ribosomal RNA", at positions 31 to 523 of the family's 1533-position model. The record is from RNAcentral. Lineage: Bacteria; Bacillati; Actinomycetota; Actinomycetes; Kitasatosporales; Streptomycetaceae.
GAACGCUGGCGGCGUGCUUAACACAUGCAAGUCCAACGAUGAACCACUUCGGUGGGGAUUAGUGGCGAACGGGUGAGUAACACGUGGGCAAUCUGCCCUUCACUCUGGGACAAGCCCUGGAAACGGGGUCUAAUACCGGAUAUCACUUCCACUCGCAUGGGUGGGGGUUGAAAGCUCCGGCGGUGAAGGAUGAGCCCGCGGCCUAUCAGCUUGUUGGUGAGGUAAUGGCUCACCAAGGCGACGACGGGUAGCCGGCCUGAGAGGGCGACCGGCCACACUGGGACUGAGACACGGCCCAGACUCCUACGGGAGGCAGCAGUGGGGAAUAUUGCACAAUGGGCGAAAGCCUGAUGCAGCGACGCCGCGUGAGGGAUGACGGCCUUCGGGUUGUAAACCUCUUUCAGCAGGGAAGAAGCGAAAGUGACGGUACCUGCAGAAGAAGCGCCGGCUAACUACGUGCCAGCAGCCGCGGUCA